RNAcentral lists this ribosomal RNA (576 nucleotides) under uncultured eukaryote. Its description in RNAcentral is "SSU rRNA". It matches the Rfam family "Eukaryotic small subunit ribosomal RNA", at positions 203 to 786 of the family's 1831-position model. The record is from RNAcentral.
UUUGUUACUCCAAACCAAUCGGACUUCGGCCUGACAUCAAGUGAUAUUGAACAAUUUAGCUGAUCGCACGGUCUAAGAACCGGCGACAUAUCCUUCAAAUGUCUGCCUUAUCAACUUUCGAUGGUAGAUUAUGCGCCUACCAUGGUUGUAACGGGUAACGGAGAAUCAGGGUUUGAUUCCGGAGAGGGAGCCUGAGAAACGGCUACCACAUCCAAGGAAGGCAGCAGGCACGCAAAUUACCCACUCCCGGCACGGGGAGGUAGUGACGAAAAACAACAAGCUGGUCUCAAUGAGUUCCAGCAUUGUAAUGGGAACAAUUUAAAUCUUUUAUCGAGGAUCUAUUGGAGGGCAAGUCUGGUGCCAGCAGCCGCGGUAAUUCCAGCUCCAAUAGCGUAUAUUAAAGUUGUUGCGGUUAAAAAGCUCGUAGUUGGAUCUAGGAUUAGGGCUACGGUCGUUCAGCUUGGACGUACUGUAUGCCCGACUCCUUUUCUCUAGUAUUCGAUUGUUGCUCUUAAAUGAGUGACUUUAGUUGCUGGAACUUUUACCUUGAAAAAAUUGAAGUGCUCAAAGCAGGUU